RNAcentral lists this long non-coding RNA (818 nucleotides) under Cottoperca gobio. RNAcentral's name for it is "lncRNA (ENSCGOG00000017027.1)". Lineage: Eukaryota; Metazoa; Chordata; Actinopteri; Perciformes; Bovichtidae. The record is from RNAcentral.
GGCAUAUGCAAAAAGUGAAUACAAACGCAGUUCAGAAAAUGUUUAGUUGGGAAUUGGAUGUGUUACAAAAAAUGUCAACGGUUUAACUUUGCCCACUGGUCUAGAAUUGAGCAAGUUGAAUGUUGCUUGAUAUUAGCUAAGCUAAUUAACUAGCUAAUAUGCAUUAACUAAUGAUCUCCUGUUUCAGCAGCUUGAAUUUCAUCCACAUUUGCUCUGUAAAUUGACGUGUAAUUUUGGCUACGUGUUCAAGAUUUAAACAGUGCAUUUUGAUCUGCUUGCUUCUGCCAGGGGGCAAGUCUGGGGGCGACAGGAUAUGAUGCAGACACAGAAGACACACAUGAUGCAGACACAAAAGACACACAUGAUGCAUGUGUCCUGUGUAUUCGGUGUGUCCUGUGUCUUCGGUAUCUGCAUCAUUACCUGUUCAAUGAGACCGAUGGCACAAAGGACGAGGACAUUUUGGAUGGGGAACCAGCUGCAUCUCAAGAAGCUGCGUCUCCACAACCGUCAGACGAGCUGGGAGGAGCUGAUGAUGAAACAGAACCAGCUGCAUCUCAAGAAGCUGCAUCUCCACAACCGUCAGACGAGCUGGGAGUGGAUGAUGAUGAAACAGGAGAAGCACAUAUUGCCGCCAAAAACUCCUCUAGUCCGCAGGAAACAGAGCGACCGAAAAGCCCAGGCCUGAUCCAGGUUGAGACGCCGACCAAGCGCUUCAAGAAAUAAUGUAUACAUAAUGUAAUGUAUAAGUGUAUAAGCUGCAUGUGACAUUUUUUCAAAUAAACACGUGUUGACUUGGAGUUGUUUGUGUUGUGAUGGAG